CAAGCAUCACCGUGGACAGAAUACAAGGAGUUAGACGGUGUUCUAUAUGUGGAUGGAAGCGUCUUCAAGUUUAUUUUCCACUCCAUCAAACGGUUCAUUAUUUGGACUUCCCAAUAAAGAGUUAUGCUCAUUUUAGUAACUGCUGCCAGAAGCUGAAAGACGCGCGAACCAGCCACGAAAUCCACUAGUGCAUGCGCAUGCUGCCAUUUACUCCAAGCUGAACGCCCCUAUCUCUAUAUGUAACUUGUACUAGACAAUGAAAGGUCAGAUCUUGAU
This 276-nucleotide long non-coding RNA is filed under the name Setaria italica (foxtail millet). RNAcentral describes it as "long non-coding RNA (SITA_LNC006828)". Lineage: Eukaryota; Viridiplantae; Streptophyta; Magnoliopsida; Poales; Poaceae. The record is from RNAcentral.